This 175-nucleotide ribosomal RNA is filed under the name Giardia duodenalis. RNAcentral's name for it is "Giardia intestinalis partial small subunit ribosomal RNA". The record is from RNAcentral. Lineage: Eukaryota; Fornicata; Diplomonadida; Hexamitidae.
GACGCUCUCCCCAAGGACGAAGCCAUGCAUGCCCGCUCACCCGGGACGCGGCGGACGGCUCAGGACAACGGUUGCACCCCCCGCGGCGGUCCCUGCUAGCCGGACACCGCUGGCAACCCGGCGCCAAGACGUGCGCGCAAGGGGCGGGCGCCCGCGGGCGAGCAGCGUGACGCAG